Molecule: ribosomal RNA, 500 nt
Filed under: uncultured bacterium
Lineage: Bacteria
Description: partial 16S ribosomal RNA
Rfam family: Bacterial small subunit ribosomal RNA
Source: RNAcentral
AUUGAACGCUGGCGGCAUGCCUUACACAUGCAAGUCGAACGGCAGCACGGGAGCAAUCCUGGUGGCGAGUGGCGAACGGGUGAGUAAAGUAUCGGAACGUGCCCAGUCGUGGGGGAUAACGUAGCGAAAGUUACGCUAAUACCGCAUACGACCUGAGGGUGAAAGUGGGGGACCGCAAGGCCUCGCGCGAUUGGAGCGGCCGAUAUCAGAUUAGGUAGUUGGUGGGGUAAAGGCUCACCAAGCCGACGAUCUGUAGCUGGUCUGAGAGGACGACCAGCCACACUGGGACUGAGACACGGCCCAGACUCCUACGGGAGGCAGCAGUGGGGAAUUUUGGACAAUGGUCGCAAGCCUGAUCCAGCCAUGCCGCGUGCAGGAUGAAGGCCUUCGGGUUGUAAACUGCUUUUGUACGGAACGAAAAGGUUUGACUUAAUACGUUGGACUCAUGACGGUACCGUAAGAAUAAGCACCGGCUAACUACGUGCCAGCCGCCGCGGUAA